RNAcentral lists this ribosomal RNA (833 nucleotides) under Thaxteriellopsis lignicola. Its description in RNAcentral is "eukaryotic LSU rRNA". It matches the Rfam family "Eukaryotic large subunit ribosomal RNA", at positions 49 to 906 of the family's 3401-position model. Lineage: Eukaryota; Fungi; Ascomycota; Dothideomycetes; Tubeufiales; Tubeufiaceae. The record is from RNAcentral.
GUCGUAGGAGGACCAACUGGGAUUGCCUCAGUAACGGCGAGUGAAGCGGCAAUAGCUCAAAUUUGAAAUCUGGCUCUUUCAGAGUCCGAGUUGUAAUUUGUAGAGGAUGCUUCGGCUUACGCCCCGGUCUAAGUUCCUUGGAACAGGACGUCACAGAGGGUGAGAAUCCCGUACGUGGCCGGCGGCCUCCGCCAUGUGAAGCUCCUUCGACGAGUCGAGUUGUUUGGGAAUGCAGCUCUAAAUGGGAGGUAAAUUUCUUCUAAAGCUAAAUACUGGCCAGAGACCGAUAGCGCACAAGUAGAGUGAUCGAAAGAUGAAAAGCACUUUGGAAAGAGAGUUAAAAAGUACGUGAAAUUGUUGAAAGGGAAGCGCUUGCAACCAGACUUGCCCGCGGUUGUUCAGCCGGUCCUUCGGCCGGUGCACUCUUCCGCGGUCAGGCCAGCAUCAGUUUAGGCGGUCGGAUAAAGGCUCUAGGAAUGUAGCUCUCUUCGGGGAGUGUUAUAGCCUGGGGCGCAAUACGGCCCGCCUGGACUGAGGUCCGCGCUUCGGCUAGGAUGCUGGCGUAAUGGUUGUAAGCGGCCCGUCUUGAAACACGGACCAAGGAGUCUAACAUCUAUGCGAGUGUUUGGGUGUCAAACCCGUGCGCGUAAUGAAAGUGAACGGAGGUGGGAACCUUAGGGUGCACCAUCGACCGAUCCUGAUGUCUUCGGAUGGAUUUGAGUAAGAGCAUAGCUGUUGGGACCCGAAAGAUGGUGAACUAUGCCUGAAUAGGGUGAAGCCAGAGGAAACUCUGGUGGAGGCUCGCAGCGGUUCUGACGUGCAAAUCGAUCGUC